RNAcentral lists this ribosomal RNA (693 nucleotides) under uncultured bacterium. RNAcentral's name for it is "bacterial SSU rRNA". It matches the Rfam family "Bacterial small subunit ribosomal RNA", at positions 8 to 711 of the family's 1533-position model. The record is from RNAcentral.
AGAGUUUGAUCCUGGCUCAGGACGAACGCUGGCGGCGUGCUUAACACAUGCAAGUCAAGGACUGUAGCAAUACAGGACUGGCGCACGGGUGCGGAACACGUAGGUAAUCUGCCCUUUAGNGGAAGAACAACCCGUCGAAAGACGGGCUAAAACUUCGUAAUAUCACGAGACGGCAUCGUUUUGUGAUCAAGCUUUCUAAGGGAUGAGCCUGCGUCUGAUUAGCUAGUUGGUGAGGUAACGGCUCACCAAGGCUACGAUCAGUAGCUGGUCUGAGAGGAUGAUCAGCCACAUUGGGACUGAGAUACGGCCCAGACUCCUACGGGAGGCAGCAGUGAGGAAUAUUGCUCAAUGGGGGAAACCCUGAAGCAGCAACGCCGCGUGAGGGAUGAAGGCGCUCUGCGUUGUAAACCUCUGUAGUUGGGGACAAAUGUGGGGUUAUUACCCCAUUGAUGGUACCCAAAAAGUAAGGAUCGGCUAACUACGUGCCAGCAGCCGCGGUAAUACGUANGAUCCGAGCGUUGUCCGGAUUUACUGGGUGUAAAGGGUGCGCAGGCGGACUGGUAAGUCAGUGGUGAAAUCUCGUCGCUUAACGACGAAACUGCCUUUGAUACUAUCAGUCUUGGAGUCCGGGUAGAGAUCUGUGGGAAUUCCGAGUGUAGCAGUGAAAUGUGUAGAUAUUCGGNAAGAACACCA